Dermochelys coriacea (leatherback sea turtle) is the source of this 2696-nucleotide long non-coding RNA. RefSeq lists it as uncharacterized. NCBI's taxonomy places the organism in Eukaryota, Metazoa, Chordata, Testudines, Dermochelyidae. The record is from RefSeq and is a predicted model, not a curated record. The transcript has 3 exons.
UUGUCCUAUGAAGGUGCAGAGAUAUCUUUCUGUCUAAUCGAGGGGUAAGCCUACCUCUCACUAAUGUAUUGAGUUCCCAGUUCUCAGCCUUUGUGACACAGAUUCCAGGAGGAGUUUUCCUUGCUCCCAGCCUGAACCUUUUUGCUGUGCAUUUUCCUGUGUAGCUACAUGCUACCUUGUUAGUCUGGCUGCAGCUCUUUGCUUCUCCUCCCACCCUCACUCAUGAAUUCAACUUCCCUUCUUUUAUACCCUCAUUUCUUUUUGUCACUUAAACUUUCUGUGCCUCUUUCUCUUUCUUUUCUGAACUCCUCUGAGCCAAGCACAGUUGGCCACCCCUAGGUAUCAGAACACCUUCUCCCAUGUGCAUGCACACAAUACAGACACAUCUUGUGUGGGAAGGUUUAACAAAGGCCCCUGUGCAGGAGGCAUAUUGUGCUCGGUGAUCUGCUAAGAACAGGCUCCUUUUACUUCUUAUACAGUCUCAAAUUAAUUCCAGCGAGCACACAUAACUCUUAGGUCACUGAGACCCCCAUCCAUCUGAAAAUCUUAACCUGUCUGACAAUGCUGCACCCACUAGAUUUACAAGUAGCCCUCAAGUAACUGAAGAAAGUGAGACCCUUUGUCUCUGUUUAUGGUAUGCAUUCAUCAGCCCUUUGUUAUUGGCACUGUCCAACCUCUGGAGAGCCCGUCAGACCCCAGUCCUGCAAGGAGUGCAGUGCCUGUGCAGAUCCGAUCCACUGCAAUGAGCCCCAUGCAGAGCUCAUGGUAGGAGUGGGGACCCGUCAGUUUCUCCCUUGCUGAAAAGAUCCUUUUAUAGAGAUAUAGCAAUAGCAGAGCAGAACAAAGCCUUCUUGCAAAAAGAAUGAUUUAAAAAAAAAUCAGGCCAUGUUAUUUAAAGGAGACGCUGUCAGAAAGAGUCAUAUUUAACUACGAGUUUGUUAAAAAGACUUGAAUUUGACUGUGUCCCUACACAUGCCCCACGUUCUCAUGUGAUGCCCCCCACCCUACUGAGCAGCUGUGGGGAUGAGCUCUGAAGGGAAGCCCUCCCAUAUUGGAAGAAGAGUGGUCAACAGCUAAGGCCUUGAAGUUGGCUCCUUGGAGCAGCCACUCCCAAUUGGCUUUUAUUAAAGAGCUGCUCCAGCCUCAAUAACUCGCUGGCUGCCCUGGACAGCAAUGCAGAGGGGAGCCGACUCCUGCUCAGACUGAAUUCCUCCUAACACAUUAUCCUGCCACAUAAAUUAAUGAGCUUCCUUAGGCCCCACAGCACGCUGCUGGAGACUUCAUACACUCAGAGGCUCAGCACAGGGAGAUGGGAGAACUGGUGGAUUCUAGGGUCAAAUUUUUAUUUGUGAGGGAAGGGAACAGGGGAAAGGCAGGUUAUUAUUUAGUCCCCGGAAAUGGAUUUACUCCUCAAGUGUAGACUCCCCUUGUUGGAGUUGAAGGUUUUGGGUUCAAAUCCAGAUGUUGGCAGGACUCAAACCUGGACAUUCAGGGCCUGAGGGUCUGAUAGCUGCAUGUCCCACCUCCACUGGGGGACGGGAUUAGGGCCCUACCCUUCUCUGCUUAGCAGACUCAUCAGCAUAGGGCGGCAAUGCUGGGAAAGCCACCAAAUAGCAAAGCUCUCAGUUGGUCAUUAAAGGAAGUGGUUUGCUAAUGGGACCCAUACAGUUUCCAGUACAUGCUCCCCGCCCCCCCACUAGCGUGGGUAAAGGCAAUAAAAAGGGAACAGCCACUUAAUAAACACUAGUUAGCAUGCCAGCUUAAUGAGCACCAGCCCCACCAUGACUGGGACUUUUAAAGGCGCAGUUGCAUGGGUCUCCAUCCCUCCCCCACACAAAAGAAACUUUAAGGAUUAUAUUUUGCUGCUCACUGCCCAGUCCUGCAGUCCUUGCUCAGACGAAGGGUAAACAGGCUGAGCCAAGUAAUUAUAGCUCUGUCAGUCUGACUGAUCCUAGGCAAGAUAUUACAGCAGCGGAUACAGGACUCUAUUAAUAUAGAAUUAAAGGAGAGUAAUAUAAUUAAUGCCAAUCAACAUGGGUGUAUGGAAAAAAUAGAUCCUGUCAAGCUGAUGUGAUACCUUUUUGCAUGAGAUUACCAAUUUGAUUGGUGAAAAUACUAGUUUUGAUAUACUAUACUUAGAUUUACGUAAGGCUUUGACUUUGUACCGGCCGCCAUUUUGAUUAAGAAACUAGAACAAUAUAAAAUUAACAUGGCACACCUUCAAUGGAGUAAAAGCUGACGAACAGAUAGGUCUCAAAAUGUAACUGUAAACAGGGAAUCAUGUGGGCGCGUUUCUAGUGGGAUCUGCAGGGAAUUGUUCUUGGCCUUGUGGUAUUUAAUGUUUUUAUCAGUGAUCAAAUCAGCACUGAUAAAGUUUGCAGAUGACACAAAAAUUGAGGGAGGGGUAAUAAUAAAGAAAACAGGUCACCAAUACAGAGCGCUCUGGAUUGCCUGGUAAGCUGGGCACAGGCAUAUACAAUGCAUUUUAAUACACUUAAAUGUAAAUGUAUACAUCUAGGAACAAAAAUGUAGGCCAUGCUUACAGGAUGGGAGACUCUCUCCUGGUAAAUGGUGACUGAAAAAGAUUUUGGGUUUGGGGUGGAUAAUAGGCUGAACAUAUGCUCUCAGUGGGGCUAAUGAGAUCCUUGGUACAAAUCCAUGGUACGCCCACAUCUUGAAUACUGUGUGCAGAUGUG